This 2795-nucleotide long non-coding RNA is filed under the name Lathyrus oleraceus (garden pea). RNAcentral describes it as "Pisum sativum (pea) long non-coding RNA (PSAT_LNC021819)". The record is from RNAcentral. Lineage: Eukaryota; Viridiplantae; Streptophyta; Magnoliopsida; Fabales; Fabaceae.
GUGUUUUCUUAAUGGAUUUGCAUUGCGUUCAGGUUGCCGAUCGCGUUUUCUUAAUGGAUUUGCGAUGCAUGCUUCAGAUUGUUGAAGCACACACAUGAAACUGACUUGACACAAGUUUUCAUUUGAUAAGUAAGAGAUAUGUUUAACCAUUAUGCAGCAAAGCCAGGAUUAGCUUCAUAUCUAAAACCUUAAGAACAGAGAACAGCUCCAGAUAGAUAAAUCAAACUUCUUCAAAUUGAAUUUCGAACAUGUUUUGCUGCAGCAGCUUGGUUUGUCAAAACAAUAACCUUCUUCAAAGCAUGCAUCAGCCUGGCUUUUUGAUUUGGUGAUAUCUAUAAAAUAAUUUUUGUUUUCAAUUCUGAGAGCGUAUUUUUCUUGAAGUUGUCUUUUGAUCUUGUAUAAGUUGUUGAAGUUUGUGUUUCUUCCGUGUUGAGGUUUUUGUGUUUCUAUUAUCAGGGACUUAGAUCUUUGGCUAAGUGCAAAUUAUGGAAUUAGAUACCAUCUUUGAAUCUUUGAUAUAGCCCAAGCACGUCUCAGUGUCGUGUGUCAGAUACUGACGCUUCCUACUAUGGCUGCACUUUAAUUUGGUCAUCACUACCAAGACUUUUACGCUUUAGUCUUUGUUUGAUUUGAUACACAACAUCUACUUUUGUCGGAUUCUUUGAGUUGUGUGAGUUUUGCAGGGAGAUGCAUUUAUCCCGUUUCGCAGAAAGCAUGGUGGAUAUCCAGAAUGCCUUGAUACAACAACCAGAACAGGAAAUAACUCUAGAUAGCUAAAUCAAUUUUUUAUGGGUCAUUCUUUACUAUUUUUAUUUCCGACCUUUGAUUGCAAGGCAUACAAAUUAAUUUCUGAAGUGUUUUGCUUCAGCGUGGUUGUUUCCAACUAAUAACCUUCUUCAGGGCAUGGAGCUUAGCAUUUCAAUUUUUGAUUUGGUGAUCUCCAUUAAAUUCUUUUUAUAUUGAUUCUAUUUUUUGGUUCUGAAACCAUAUCUUCUUUGAUUUGGUGUUUACUCUCUGGUGUUGCAGGAUAUUUAAUAUGUUAACAGACGAUUUCUUCUUGUUCUAUUUUCCUCUUGUUUGAUCUUCAUGGCUGUUGAUUUUUGCUUUCUUGAUUCUUAGGUUUGAUUUGGUUUUUGUUAGUUUUGACCUUGGAAGUUACUGUCUACUAUUAUUUUGUUAGGGUUUUAAAUGAUUGUUCUUUUGUGUAUACAUAUGGGUGACCUUGGAAGUCACUUUUUUCUACAUUCUCCCAAGUGGAUAUUUAUCGAAGUGGGGAUGCCGAAAUUUUUACCGUUUCAUAUGGACUGUGUAUAUUUGUUCCACAAUAGUCCUCCUUUAUUGCAUGCUUAACAUUGCUGAACAGAAUUGUGGAGCAUAUCUCUUCUCGCUACCUUCUCCGUUUUUAAGCAAAUUGUGGCCGUGUUUGAUUUGAUGAUCUACAUCUAAAGAGAGUUAUUCUUGCACUCUUUUACUGUUUGUUUCUUUUAUUUCUGAUAUAUUGGAAUAGGAAUUCGUUUCCUCUCUAAGGAUUUCAUCGGGCACCAGAAUUCAUUAUUAGAACCAUCAUGUUCUGCAGACUGUAAGAUAAUCUCUAAGGAAUUCGAGUCAUACAUUUCUGUAGGAAACUUGUUUCAUUUUGUAGAGUGAACAGCGUGGUUUGGGAAAGUAUCUCCAUCCGGUGUUUGGUAAGGUAAAUUAUGCUCAUAUUGAGAUCCAAAGUAUGCAAUUUGAUGGCAAUUGUUCCAAACAUAAAUAUUUUGUUGGUUGUGUCCUAUGUUCUCACUAUUUCUAGAUUAUAAUCAGAAGAUCUAUAUAGUAAUGUGGUGUUUGUUAGUGGAUAUAGUACACAUCUUUAAGCGCAAGAUAUAUUAUCAGAUGAUUGACAAAGCAGUUUUGGUAUAUAAUUAUCAGAUGAUAGCACCAUUAUCACGAUUAUUUUACAUUAAUAGCCCAUCAUACAACAAUAUAUAUAAUAUACAUCUUUACUUUUGGAGUAUGCCAUUCCUUUUUUUAUGAUGCUUAGUGGAUUAGUCAAAAGUUCAUUAAGACUUGCAGCAACAACAAUAUAUAUAAUAUACAUCUUUACUUUUGGAGUAUGCCAUUCCUUUUUUUAUGAUGCUUAGUGGAUUAGUCAAAAGUUCAUUAAGACUUGCAGCAAUCUUUAUGUGUAAUCUAAUCUAGACGUUCACUCUGCUCAAUAUUUGUAAACGGACAAGAACACCGGCUAUUUGUAAACGGACAAGAACACCGGCCCUCUUUCAUCUCAACUGUUGAUCUACAACUACUUGGUAGUCUACACUUCAUGCUAGACAAACCAAAGAUGAGUAGUAUCUCUACUAUAUACGUGUGAUUCUGCGUCACAAUCAGGUAUUUUUUUAUUCAUAUUUGUAAAGUUUCACCUCAUUCAUAUACUAACUUGAGCGUCGGAGUGCUAACCUUUUUUUGCAGGUACCCCUCUUACCUCAAAACGAAUGUCUUACCGCGGUAGUUGUCUUUGUCUUCAGCCUUACAUUGUUUCAGUAUGGAAUAGUUAUAAUUGAAUGUUCUAAAUCUUCUUCAUACAAGUCUUUUGCAUGCAUGCUGAAGUUCUGAUUUUUUUUUCAAUUGAGUGCUAGAUAAUGUUUCUUUCCAUAACAUAUAAGCUCCCAAAUUUCGUACAGUCGCAAUACAUAUAAGCUCUUGGUUAAUAACAAGAGCGGUGAAGAAUCUACUGGCAAUGGGGAGAUGGAACAAGGAGGAGAAAUCAUCCAAAGUGAUUAGCUUCAUAUCUAAAACCUUAAGAACAGAGAACAGCU